GGCGCUAUAGCCAAGUGGUUACGGCGACAGAUUAGAAUGGGCUCGGAUCCUCCUGUAAUCUGUUCCUCUUUGAGGGCGCAGGUUCAAAUCCUGCUGGCGUCG
Hymenopellis radicata is the source of this 102-nucleotide non-coding RNA. The record is from the annotation of a GenBank genome assembly. Lineage: Eukaryota; Fungi; Basidiomycota; Agaricomycetes; Agaricales; Physalacriaceae.